UACGUAGGGUGCAAGCGUUAAUCGGAAUUACUGGGCGUAAAGCGUGCGCAGGCGGUUAUGCAAGACAGAUGUGAAAUCCCCGGGCUCAACCUGGGAACUGCAUUGGAUACUGCCUUGCUUGAGUACUGGAGAGGAGACUGGAAUUUACGGUGUAGCAGUGAAAUGCGUAGAUAUCGUAAGGAAGACCAGUGGCGAAGGCGAGUCUCUGGACAGUUACUGACGCUGAGGCACGAAGGCCAGGGGAGCAAACGGG
Molecule: ribosomal RNA, 253 nt
Filed under: uncultured bacterium
Lineage: Bacteria
Description: partial 16S ribosomal RNA
Rfam family: Bacterial small subunit ribosomal RNA
Source: RNAcentral